AGUGAACGCUGGCGGUAGGCCUAACACAUGCAAGUCGAACGGCAGCACAGUAAGAGCUUGCUCUUACGGGUGGCGAGUGGCGGGCGGGUGAGGAAUACAUCGGAAUCUACUUUUUCGUGGGGGAUAACGUAGGGAAACUUACGCUAAUACCGCAUACGACCUACGGGUGAAAGCAGGGGAUCUUCGGACCUUGCGCGAUUGAAUGAGCCGAUGUCGGAUUAGCUAGUUGGCGGGAUAAAGGCCCACCAAGGCGACGAUCCGUAGCUGGUCUGAGAGGAUGAUCAGCCACACUGGAACUGAGACACGGUCCAGACUCCUACGGGAGGCAGCAGUGGGGAAUAUUGGACAAUGGGCGCAAGCCUGAUCCAGCCAUACCGCGUGGGUGAAGAAGGCCUUCGGGUUGUAAAGCCCUUUUGUUGGGAAAGAAAAGCAGCAGGUUAAUACCCCGCUGUUCUGACGGUACCCAAAGAAUAAGCACCGGCUAACUUCGUG
RNAcentral lists this ribosomal RNA (492 nucleotides) under uncultured bacterium. RNAcentral's name for it is "partial 16S ribosomal RNA". It matches the Rfam family "Bacterial small subunit ribosomal RNA", at positions 29 to 507 of the family's 1533-position model. The record is from RNAcentral.